UCCCUGGUGGUCCAGUGGCUAAGACUCUGAGCUCCCAAUGCAGGAGACCUGGGUUUGAGCCCUGGUCAGGGAA
This 73-nucleotide transfer RNA is filed under the name Ovis aries (sheep). It matches the Rfam family "tRNA". Rfam says of the family: Transfer RNA (tRNA) molecules are approximately 80 nucleotides in length. Their secondary structure includes four short double-helical elements and three loops (D, anti-codon, and T loops). The record is from Rfam by way of RNAcentral. Lineage: Eukaryota; Metazoa; Chordata; Mammalia; Artiodactyla; Bovidae.